Molecule: ribosomal RNA, 447 nt
Filed under: uncultured bacterium
Lineage: Bacteria
Description: partial 16S ribosomal RNA
Rfam family: Bacterial small subunit ribosomal RNA
Source: RNAcentral
AACGAACGCUGGCGGCAGGCUUAACACAUGCAAGUCGAGCGCCCCGCAAGGGGAGCGGCAGACGGGUGAGUAACGCGUGGGAACCUACCCUUUUCUACGGAAUAACGCAUGGAAACGUGUGCUAAUACCGUAUACGCCCUACGGGGGAAAGAUUUAUCGGAGAAGGCAGGGCCCGCGUUGGAUUAGCUAGUUGGUGGGGUAAAGGCCUACCAAGGCGACGAUCCAUAGCUGGUCUGAGAGGAUGAUCAGCCACAUUGGGACUGAGACACGGCCCAAACUCCUACGGGAGGCAGCAGUGGGGAAUAUUGGACAAUGGGUGCAAGCCUGAUCCAGCCAUGCCGCGUGAGUGAUGAAGGCCCUAGGGUUGUAAAGCUCUUUCACCGGAGAAGAUAAUGACGGUAUCCGGAGAAGAAGCCCCGGCUAACUUCGUGCCAGCCGCCGCGGUAA